AGAGUUUGAUCAUGGCUCAGAACGAACGCUGGCGGCAGGCUUAACACAUGCAAGUCGAACGGUUGUAGCAAUACAGCAGUGGCGCACGGGUGAGUAACGCGUGGAUAUCUGCCUUUGGUUCGGAAUAACUCCGGGAAACUGGAGCUAAUACCGGAUGGUUCCUACGGGAUAAAGAUUUAUCGCCAAAAGAUGAGUCCGCGUACGAUUAGCUAGUUGGUGAGGUAAUGGCUCACCAAGGCGACGAUCGUUAGCUGGUCUGAGAGGACGAUCAGCCACACUGGGACUGAGACACGGCCCAGACUCCUACGGGAGGCAGCAGUGGGGAAUAUUGGACAAUGGGGGCAACCCUGAUCCAGCCAUGCCGCGUGAGUGAUGAAGGCCUUCGGGUUGUAAAGCUCUUUUGGCGGGGACGAUGAUGACGGUACCCGCAGAAUAAGCCCCGGCUAACUUCGUG
Molecule: ribosomal RNA, 454 nt
Filed under: uncultured bacterium
Lineage: Bacteria
Description: bacterial SSU rRNA
Rfam family: Bacterial small subunit ribosomal RNA
Source: RNAcentral